This 468-nucleotide ribosomal RNA is filed under the name uncultured bacterium. RNAcentral describes it as "partial 16S ribosomal RNA". It matches the Rfam family "Bacterial small subunit ribosomal RNA", at positions 28 to 507 of the family's 1533-position model. The record is from RNAcentral.
GACGAACGCUGGCGGCGUGCUUAACACAUGCAAGUCGAACGGAAAGGCCCUGCUUUUGUGGGGUGCUCGAGUGGCGAACGGGUGAGUAACACGUGAGUAACCUGCCCUUGACUUUGGGAUAACUUCAGGAAACUGGGGCUAAUACCGGAUAGGAGCUCCUGCUGCAUGGUGGGGGUUGGAAAGUUUCGGCGGUUGGGGAUGGACUCGCGGAUUAUCAGCUUGUUGGGGGGGUAGUGGCUUACCAAGGCUUUGACGGGUAGCCGGCCUGAGAGGGUGACCGGCCACAUUGGGACUGAGAUACGGCCCAGACUCCUACGGGAGGCAGCAGUGGGGAAUAUUGCACAAUGGGCGGAAGCCUGAUGCAGCAACGCCGCGUGCGGGAUGACGGCCUUCGGGUUGUAAACCGCUUUCGCCUGUGACGAAGCGUGAGUGACGGUAAUGGGUAAAGAAGCACCGGCUAACUACGUG